This 465-nucleotide ribosomal RNA is filed under the name uncultured bacterium. Its description in RNAcentral is "partial 16S ribosomal RNA". It matches the Rfam family "Bacterial small subunit ribosomal RNA", at positions 339 to 795 of the family's 1533-position model. The record is from RNAcentral.
CUACGGGGCGCUCCAGUGGGGAAUAUUGCACAAUGGGCGCAAGCCUGAUGCAGCCAUGCCGCGUGUAUGAAGAAGGCCUUCGGGUUGUAAAGUACUUUCAGCGGGGAGGAAGGGAGUAAAGUUAAUACCUUUGCUCAUUGACGUUACCCGCAGAAGAAGCACCGGCUAGACUCCGUGCCAGCAGCCGCGGUAAUACGGAGGGUGCAAGCGUUAAUCGGAAUUACUGGGCGUAAAGCGCACGCAGGCGGUUUGUUAAGUCAGAUGCGAAAUCCCCGGGCUCAACCUGGGAACUGCAUCUGAUACUGGCAAGCUUGAGUCUCGUAGAGGGGGGUAGAAUUCCAGGUGUAGCGGUGAAAUGCGUAGAGAUCUGGAGGAAUACCGGUGGCGAAGGCGGCCCCCUGGACGAAGACUGACGCUCAGGUGCGAAAGCGUGGGGAGCAAACAGGAUUAGAUACCCGUGUAGUC